CCACUGAGGAGUUGAAGGGCCGCGGUACUUUGACCGUGCGAAGGUAGCAUAAUCAGUAGUCCUUUAAUUGAGGGCUUGAAUGAAUGGUUGAAUGAGGCGCUAGCUGUCUUUAUUUUAUAAUAAAAUCUAACUUUUAAGUGAAAAGGCUUAAAUGUAUUAGGGGGACGAUAAGACCCUAUAAAACUUUAUAUAAUAUCUUUAAGCUUGAAAAUUAGGUUUAAAUUGAGUCUCAAGGUUUAAUAUUUUGUUGGGGAGACAAAAAUAUAAUUUUAACUGUUUAUAAAAUGCAAUACUUAUAGGUAUUUUGUGAUCCUUUUUUAGUGAUUAUAAGGUUAAGUUACUUUAGGGAUAACAGCGUAAUUUCUUUUGAGAGUUCUUAUCGACAAAGGUAGUUGCGACCUCGAUGUUGAAUUAAAAUUUUAGUUGGGUGAAGAAGCUAUUCUAAUAGGUCUGUUCGACCUUUAAUAUUUUACAUGAUUUGAGUUCAAACCGGUGUGAGCCAGGUUGGUU
This 510-nucleotide ribosomal RNA is filed under the name Laomenes nudirostris. RNAcentral describes it as "partial 16S ribosomal RNA". It matches the Rfam family "Archaeal large subunit ribosomal RNA", at positions 1955 to 2705 of the family's 2987-position model. Lineage: Eukaryota; Metazoa; Arthropoda; Malacostraca; Decapoda; Palaemonidae. The record is from RNAcentral.